Molecule: ribosomal RNA, 453 nt
Filed under: uncultured Streptococcus sp.
Lineage: Bacteria; Bacillati; Bacillota; Bacilli; Lactobacillales; Streptococcaceae
Description: bacterial SSU rRNA
Rfam family: Bacterial small subunit ribosomal RNA
Source: RNAcentral
ACAAGCGGUGGAGCAUGUGGUUAAUUCGAAGCAACGCGAAGAACCUUACCAGGUCUUGACAUCCGAUGCUAUUUCUAGAGAUAGAAAGUUACUUCGGUACAUCGGUGACAGGUGGUGCAUGGUUGUCGUCAGCUCGUGUCGUGAGAUGUUGGGUUAAGUCCCGCAACGAGCGCAACCCCUAUUGUUGGUUGCCAUCAUUCAGUUGGGCACUCUAGCGAGACUGCCGGUAAUAAACCGGAGGAAGGUGGGAUGACGUCAAAUCAUCAUGCCCCUUAUGACCUGGGCUACACACGUGCUACAAUGGUUGGUACAACGAGUUGCGAGUCGGUGACGGCGAGCUAAUCUCUUAAAGCCAAUCUCAGUUCGGAUUGUAGGCUGCAACUCGCCUACAUGAAGUCGGAAUCGCUAGUAAUCGCGGAUCAGCACGCCGCGGUGAAUACGUUCCCGGGCCUU